This 271-nucleotide ribosomal RNA is filed under the name Staphylococcus epidermidis. RNAcentral's name for it is "partial 23S ribosomal RNA". It matches the Rfam family "Bacterial large subunit ribosomal RNA", at positions 1398 to 1665 of the family's 2925-position model. The record is from RNAcentral. Lineage: Bacteria; Bacillati; Bacillota; Bacilli; Caryophanales; Staphylococcaceae.
GAGGCCGACAGGCGUAGGCGAUGGAUAACAGGUUGAUAUUCCUGUACCACCUAGUAUCGUUUUAAUCGAUGGGGGGACGCAGUAGGAUAGGCGAAGCGUGCUGUUGGAGUGCACGUCCAAGCAGUAAGGCUGAGUGUUAGGCAAAUCCGGCACUCAUAAGGCUGAGCUGUGAUGGGGAGAGGAAAUUGUUUCCUCGAGUCGUUGAUUUCACACUGCCGAGAAAAGCCUCUAGAUAGAUAACAGGUGCCCGUACCGCAAACCGACACAGGUA